RNAcentral lists this ribosomal RNA (253 nucleotides) under uncultured bacterium. RNAcentral describes it as "partial 16S ribosomal RNA". It matches the Rfam family "Bacterial small subunit ribosomal RNA", at positions 524 to 776 of the family's 1533-position model. The record is from RNAcentral.
UACGUAGGGUGCAAGCGUUGUCCGGAAUUAUUGGGCGUAAAGAGCUCGUAGGCGGCUUGUCGCGUCGGCUGUGAAAACCUGGGGCUCAACCCCGGGACUGCAGCCGAUACGGGCAAGCUAGAGUUCGGUAGGGGAGACUGGAAUUCCUGGUGUAGCGGUGAAAUGCGCAGAUAUCAGGAGGAACACCGGUGGCGAAGGCGGGUCUCUGGGACGGUACUGACGCUGAGACGCGAAAGCGUGGGGAGCGAACAGG